GGAGCGGUGAUGACCCUAACAUGCCAUCUGAUUGCCCGUGCUGAAAUCCAGAGGCUGUUUCUGAGCUG
This is a non-coding RNA of Otolemur garnettii (small-eared galago), 68 nucleotides long. The record is from Rfam. Lineage: Eukaryota; Metazoa; Chordata; Mammalia; Primates; Galagidae.